GAUGAACGCUAGCUACAGGCUUAACACAUGCAAGUCGAGGGGCAGCAUUUUAGUUUGCUUGCAAACUAAAGAUGGCGACCGGCGCACGGGUGAGUAACACGUAUCCAACCUGCCGAUAACUCGGGGAUAGCCUUUCGAAAGAAAGAUUAAUAUCCGAUAGCAUAUUGAGAUCGCAUGAUUUUGAUAUUAAAGAAUUUCGGUUAUCGAUGGGGAUGCGUUCCAUUAGUUUGUUGGCGGGGUAACGGCCCACCAAGACUACGAUGGAUAGGGGGUUCUGAGAGGAAGGUCCCCCCACAUUGGAACUGAGACACGGUCCAAACGUCCUACGGGAGGCAGCAGUGAGGAAUAUUGGGUCAAUGGGGCGAGAGCCCUGAACCAGCCAAGUAGCGUGAAGGAUGACUGCCCUAUGGGUUGUAAACUUCUUUUAUACGGGUAAUAAAGUGAGCCACGUGUGGCUUUUUGUAUGUACCGUAUGAAUAAGGAUCGGCUAACUCCGUGCCAGCAGCCG
Molecule: ribosomal RNA, 508 nt
Filed under: uncultured bacterium
Lineage: Bacteria
Description: bacterial SSU rRNA
Rfam family: Bacterial small subunit ribosomal RNA
Source: RNAcentral